RNAcentral lists this ribosomal RNA (397 nucleotides) under uncultured bacterium. RNAcentral describes it as "partial 16S ribosomal RNA". It matches the Rfam family "Bacterial small subunit ribosomal RNA", at positions 523 to 918 of the family's 1533-position model. The record is from RNAcentral.
AUACGUAGGGGGCGAGCGUUGUCCGGAAUGAUUGGGCGUAAAGGGCGCGUAGGCGGCGCGGUAAGUCUGGAGUGAAAGUCCUGCUUUCAAGGUGGGAAUUGCUUUGGAUACUGCCGCGCUUGAGUGCAGGAGAGGUUAUCGGAAUUCCCGGUGUAGCGGUGAAAUGCGUAGAGAUCGGGAGGAACACCAGUGGCGAAGGCGGGUAACUGGACUGCAACUGACGCUGAGGCGCGAAAGUGUGGGGAGCAAACAGGAUUAGAUACCCUGGUAGUCCGUGCCGUAAACGAUGAAUACUAGGUGUAGGGGGUAUCGACUCCCUCUGUGCCGCAGUUAACACAUUAAGUAUUCCACCUGGGGAGUACGGCCGCAAGGUUGAAACUCAAAUGAAUUGGCGGGG